GACAGAGGGUGCAAACGUUGUUCGGAAUUACUGGGCGUAAAGCGCGUGUAGGCGGCUUGGCAAGUCGGGUGUGAAAGCCCUGGGCUCAACCUAGGAAGUGCACUCGAAACUGCUUCGCUUGAGUGUCGGAGAGGAAAGCGGAAUUCUCGGUGUAGAGGUGAAAUGCGUAGAUAUCUGGAGGAACACCGGUGGCGAAGGCGGCGUUCUGGACUGCAACUGACACUGAGAAACGAAAGCCAGGGUAGCAAACGGG
RNAcentral lists this ribosomal RNA (253 nucleotides) under uncultured bacterium. Its description in RNAcentral is "partial 16S ribosomal RNA". It matches the Rfam family "Bacterial small subunit ribosomal RNA", at positions 524 to 776 of the family's 1533-position model. The record is from RNAcentral.